Molecule: ribosomal RNA, 295 nt
Filed under: Triticum aestivum (bread wheat)
Lineage: Eukaryota; Viridiplantae; Streptophyta; Magnoliopsida; Poales; Poaceae
Description: partial small subunit ribosomal RNA
Source: RNAcentral
GCUAUGUUUUCGUGCAGGUGAUGGUACACUUCCGUUUGGCAAAAAUACCUGAGAAGCACAUAAUGAAGUGCUGGACAAGACAGGCUCGUGACAUUCUUCCUGAACACUUGGUUAGGUACCAGAAAGACAGAGGGCUUCCUGCGAGUGAUACAUUCAGGCAUCACACUAUGUACAUGUAAGCGCUUGAGUGUGUGGUACUUGGUGACAGCAAUGUGAAAUGUUAUGAAGUUUUCAUGACUAUGAUGAAGGAGGUCCAUGCCACUCUGCCGCCUUUCAGUGUAGACAAGGAUGGUUU